This 573-nucleotide ribosomal RNA is filed under the name Aureobasidium namibiae. Its description in RNAcentral is "eukaryotic LSU rRNA". It matches the Rfam family "Eukaryotic large subunit ribosomal RNA", at positions 66 to 658 of the family's 3401-position model. Lineage: Eukaryota; Fungi; Ascomycota; Dothideomycetes; Dothideales; Saccotheciaceae. The record is from RNAcentral.
GCACUUCAUUGCCCUAGUACGGCGAGUGAGCGGCAACAGCUCAAUUUGAAAGCUAGCCUUCGGGUUCGCAUUGUAAUUUGUAGAGGAUGCUUUGGGUAAAACGCCAGUCUAAGUUCCUUGGAACAGGACGUCAUAGAGGGUGAGAAUCCCGUAUGUGACUGGAAAUGUUAACCUAUGUAAAGCUCCUUCGACGAGUCGAGUUGUUUGGGAAUGCAGCUCUAAAUGGGAGGUAAAUUUCUUCUAAAGCUAAAUAUUGGCGAGAGACCGAUAGCGCACAAGUAGAGUGAUCGAAAGAUGAAAAGCACUUUGGAAAGAGAGUUAAAAAGCACGUGAAAUUGUUGAAAGGGAAGCGCUUGCAAUCAGACUUGUUUAAACUGUUCGGCCGGUCUUCUGACCGGUUUACUCAGUUUGGACAGGCCAGCAUCAGUUUCGGCGGCCGGAUAAAGGCUCUGGGAAUGUGGCCUCCACUUCGGUGGAGGUGUUAUAGCCCAGUGUGUAAUACGGCCAGCCGGGACUGAGGUCCGCGCUUCGGCUAGGAUGCUGGCGUAAUGGUUGUAAGCGACCCGUCUUAAA